CAGGUUGUAAUUAGAACACUACUAUUCUCCUUCUCCAAAUUAACUGUGAUGUUGUCCAAGGCCAGGAAUGGAUCUGAAACCCCAGCUACAGUGACCCAGGAAAUAUCUACGGAUUAGAUCCAAGGAACAGAGAUGACAUAAGAGAAAAGCCCAGGUCGUCAGCUCUGGCUUAUAUGUCUAUUGUGUGGCUAUGGCUCAGUCAAUGAAGCACUCUCAGCUUGUCACCUCUUUUGUAUAAGACAAUGGGAUGGCAAUAAUAGAGUUUCUAUCACCUUCUAGGGGAUUUUGAGGACAGAUCAGAUGAUGAUUACUUAAGUUCUUUAUGGGCUGAAAGAGAAAGAAUUCCAAAAUAAUGACUAAUAUGUAUUAAGAAGCCAUUGUGUGCCAGGAAGCACAUGUACUCUGCACAGCAACCCUAGGAGGAAAGGAUUUUUGUUAUCCCCAUUUUAGAGUGGGAAAGCUGAGGCACAGGGAGGCUACACAAGUUUUCUGAGGACACACAGACCUAAAGUCCAGGUCUCUAGACUUCCAGUGCAGUGUUCUUUCUACUGAAGUCAGUGUGUUACAGGCUGCAAAAAUCCCCUAGGUUAUCAUCUGUGGAAGUGUGCUUGGGGAAUGUGUUGUUGCUCUGAAUAUGUUCUCUCACCUGGGGAGCAGGUACAGAAUGUGGAAAUGAAGAGUUCCCCCUGAGGCUACAGGACUUCACAUGGUGCAUCAGUUUUCAAGAUGAGUCACCAAGGGACCUGGGACCAAAUCUCUCUGAGGUGGUUUGGUGAAAAUGAACAAGUACAGAUCAACCUUGGUUUAAAAAUAAAUACUUUUUCUCUUUUUUCUAUGUUUCUG
Molecule: long non-coding RNA, 843 nt
Filed under: Marmota monax (woodchuck)
Lineage: Eukaryota; Metazoa; Chordata; Mammalia; Rodentia; Sciuridae
Source: RNAcentral